This 734-nucleotide long non-coding RNA is filed under the name Mus pahari (shrew mouse). Its description in RNAcentral is "lncRNA (MGP_PahariEiJ_G0003080.1)". Lineage: Eukaryota; Metazoa; Chordata; Mammalia; Rodentia; Muridae. The record is from RNAcentral.
GGGUCCUUCACUUUACCAAGGAGUCUGAUGAGGAUAGGCAGGAAGCUCUUCAAAUGGCAAGGACUCCUCUUUGUUCUGAAAGCACUUAGAGGUACUUUGAAAGGUGGUCUGUAUUCUGCCACAGUGUAGUCCACUAAAGCAGGACAGAUUCCACACCAUGUGUGUAUGCGCUUUUCUGGGUCUGUUUGCUGCCAUGUCUGACUGCUCUGUUAUCUUCAAUAUGAUCUUACAACUAUAUGGAAGAUUGAGCUGUGGCUCCAAUGACUACAGUGAGCAUGGCUACUGUGAUUGUGGUCCUAUGGGGAACAUUUGCCAACAACUGAGCGACUCAGACCUGGCUGCAGAGCCAAGGUCCUCCAAUAGGCAUGUGGGCUGGAUGCCAGAGGAGACUUAGCUCAGGGACCUCACACAUUUCUCAUGGAAUGGAGAGCUUAUUUCAACCAACCACCUCAGCCCCGCUAACUGCUGACUUCCCACUUUCUCUAAAUGAGAAACGUGAAGGCAUGUUUGUAUGUUUUAGAUAGUUGUAAGCAUUUUUCAGUGGCUAACUUGCAAUUCGGUCCUUCCUUUGCGUUGGGUUGCUUCAUACCAAAUGCUGCUUUGAAUGUGCUGGAGCCUUACCUAGGUUAGUGUACAUUUAUUCACACAUUAUGAAAAAGAUUCAAUGUGAAGGAAAUGAAGGGACACAGUGUGGUCAUUAUACCGUUCAGAAUAAACACUGUGCGGCCAGUGUC